GAUGAACGCUGGCGGCGUGCCUAAUACAUGCAAGUCGAGCGAACGGACGAGAAGCUUGCUUCUCUGAUGUUAGCGGCGGACGGGUGAGUAACACGUGGAUAACCUACCUAUAAGACUGGGAUAACUUCGGGAAACCGGAGCUAAUACCGGAUAAUAUUUUGAACCGCAUGGUUCAAAAGUGAAAGACGGUCUUGCUGUCACUUAUAGAUGGAUCCGCGCUGCAUUAGCUAGUUGGUAAGGUAACGGCUUACCAAGGCAACGAUGCAUAGCCGACCUGAGAGGGUGAUCGGCCACACUGGAACUGAGACACGGUCCAGACUCCUACGGGAGGCAGAAGAAGGGAAUCUUGCGCAAUGGGGGAAAGCCUGACGGAGCAACGCCGCGUGAGUGAUGAAGGUCUUCGGAUCGUAAAACUCUGUUAUUGGGGAAGACCAUAUGUGUAAGUAACUGUGCACAUCGUGACGGUACCUAAUCAGAAAGCCACGGCUAACUACGUG
This 497-nucleotide ribosomal RNA is filed under the name uncultured bacterium. RNAcentral describes it as "partial 16S ribosomal RNA". It matches the Rfam family "Bacterial small subunit ribosomal RNA", at positions 28 to 507 of the family's 1533-position model. The record is from RNAcentral.